Molecule: non-coding RNA, 138 nt
Organism: Ornithorhynchus anatinus (platypus)
Lineage: Eukaryota; Metazoa; Chordata; Mammalia; Monotremata; Ornithorhynchidae
Source: Rfam
UCCCUUUGAGGGUCACACCUGGAGAGUUUCCAGCACUCCACCAGUCUUGACUAUGGGAGGAAGAGUCAAGCAGAGGCCUGUCCAUUCCAUUCCUAGCCUGGGCAGUGGCUAGUGAGUGUAAGGCCAUCUGCUGCAAGU